AGUUAGUGGCGAACGGGCGAGUAACACGUUUCUAAUCUACCCCGGAGAUGAGGACAACUACAGAGAUGUAGCUAAACCUCGAUACGCUCAUCAAAAUGAAAAUAUGAUGAGGAAAUAUUUAUAGCUCUGGGACGAGGAAGCGUCCUAUCAGGUAGUUGGUGAGAUAAUAGCCCACCAAGCCUAUGGCGGGUAGCCGGUCUGAGAGGAUGUCCGGCCGCAAUGGAACUGAGACACGGUCCAUACCCCUACGGGGGGCAGCAGUGGGGAAUUUUGGACAAUGGACGAAAGUCUGAUCCAGCAAUUCUGCGUGCAUGAUGAAGGCCUGCGGGUCGUAAAGUGCUUUUUUGAGGGAAAACGACUGAUGGUACCUCAAGAAUAAGGGACGGCUAACUCUGUGCCAGCAGCCGCGGUAAUACAGAGGUCCCAAGCGUUAUCCGGAUUUACUGGGCGUAAAGAGUCCGUAGCUGGCAUUGUAAGUCUUGAUUCAAAUACUCUGACUCACUCAGAGAAAGGGUCAAGAUACUGCAAAGCUCGAGAUCAUAGGGGGUUAGUGGAAUUUCCAGUGGAGGGGUGAAAUCCGUUGAUAUUGGAAAGGAAUGCCGAAAGCGAAAGCAGCUAACUACUAUAUUCUGACAGUCAAGGACGAAAGCUUGGGGAUCGAACGGGAUUAGAUACCCCGGUAGUCCAGCUGUAAAUGAUGUCUGCUAA
Molecule: ribosomal RNA, 708 nt
Filed under: uncultured bacterium
Lineage: Bacteria
Description: bacterial SSU rRNA
Rfam family: Bacterial small subunit ribosomal RNA
Source: RNAcentral